UACGAAGGGGGCUAGCGUUGCUCGGAAUUACUAGGCGUAAAGCGCACGUAGGCGGCUUGUUAAGUCAGGGGUGAAAUCCUGGAGCUCAACUCCAGAACUGCCUUUGAUACUGGCGAGCUUGAGUUCGGGAGAGGUGAGUGGAACUGCGAGUGUAGAGGUGAAAUUCGUAGAUAUUCGGAAGAACACCAGUGGCGAAGGCGGCUCACUGGCCCGUUACCGACGCUCAGGCGCGACAGCGUGGGGAGCAAACAGG
RNAcentral lists this ribosomal RNA (253 nucleotides) under uncultured bacterium. RNAcentral's name for it is "partial 16S ribosomal RNA". It matches the Rfam family "Bacterial small subunit ribosomal RNA", at positions 524 to 776 of the family's 1533-position model. The record is from RNAcentral.